Molecule: non-coding RNA, 94 nt
Filed under: bovine gut metagenome
Also listed under: 1 other name
Description: SAM riboswitch (S box leader)
Rfam family: SAM riboswitch aptamer (S box leader)
About the family: The SAM riboswitch is found upstream of a number of genes which code for proteins involved in methionine or cysteine biosynthesis in Gram-positive bacteria. The SAM riboswitch acts at the level of transcription termination control.
Source: RNAcentral
CUUAUCAAGAGCGGUGGAGGGAACGGCCCUGUGAAGCCCGGCAACCUGUGCGGAUGCAUAAGGUGCCAAAUCCGGCGGUGAAACGAAAGAUGAG